Molecule: long non-coding RNA, 461 nt
Organism: Alosa sapidissima (American shad)
Lineage: Eukaryota; Metazoa; Chordata; Actinopteri; Clupeiformes; Clupeidae
Exons: 3
Source: RefSeq, a predicted model, not a curated record
GUUUGGAUAGUGUGGCUCUAUUGUGGCUUCGGUGCUUGUUGUGCUGGUUUAUUCUGGUGCAUCAGGAAAAGAAAACAAAUGGGAGCAGGUGGAGCUCACACAGACUUUGUAAAAACCACGGUGACUUCUGCUCAACUGUGAUCCAGUAGCAUUUAUAUACUGCACUGUGCAGGAUGUAAAGUCAUCUGUAACUGAGGAGAGUCCUUAUGAUGAGGUGAACAUUAGGCAUCACUGACUGAGUCUCCCCCUCCUGCCCCUGUUCGAGUGAAAACUGCACCAUCUUCAAUACAUUCCAUCUGUACUGAAAAAAGUCAUUCAAUGACAUUUUGUGCAUAUAGAUCUAUAAUGUUCUUGAUUGGGUUGAGGGUAUGAGGUUUCAUAUCUCUCAAUAACAACUCACAAACUUCUCUGUGCAUCUGCAGAUCUCCUUAGGGACUGUUAGUUAUUUAUUUAAGGGGCUA